RNAcentral lists this transfer RNA (96 nucleotides) under Burkholderia pseudomallei PB08298010. RNAcentral's name for it is "tRNA-SeC (TCA) (tRNA-SeC-TCA-1-1)". It matches the Rfam family "Selenocysteine transfer RNA". The record is from RNAcentral. Lineage: Bacteria; Pseudomonadati; Pseudomonadota; Betaproteobacteria; Burkholderiales; Burkholderiaceae.
GGAAGGCAUUCGUAUCCGGUGGUGCGGCUGGGCUUCAAAUCCAGUUGGUGCGGUCAGCCCGCGCCAGGUCGGUUCGACUCCGGCUGCCUUCCGCCA